RNAcentral lists this ribosomal RNA (254 nucleotides) under uncultured bacterium. RNAcentral's name for it is "partial 16S ribosomal RNA". It matches the Rfam family "Bacterial small subunit ribosomal RNA", at positions 524 to 776 of the family's 1533-position model. The record is from RNAcentral.
CACGUAGGGCGCAAGCGUUGUCCGGAAUUAUUGGGCGUAAAGAGCUCGUAGGCGGUCUGUUGCGUCCGCUGUGAAAACUCGGGGCUUAACCCCGAGCCUGCAGUGGAUACGGGCAGACUAGAGGUAGGUAGGGGAGAAUGGAAUUCCCGGUGUAGCGGUGAAAUGCGCAGAUAUCGGGAGGAACACCGGUGGCGAAGGCGGGUCGACUGGGCCGAUACGUGACGCUGAGAGCGAAAGCGUGGGGAGCGAACAGG